Molecule: long non-coding RNA, 3566 nt
Filed under: Solanum tuberosum (potato)
Lineage: Eukaryota; Viridiplantae; Streptophyta; Magnoliopsida; Solanales; Solanaceae
Description: long non-coding RNA (STUB_LNC002101)
Source: RNAcentral
UGGACUGCCAUCUGUCAUGAAAAAAAUCCAAUUGUUUUUUCAAAAGUAUGGGUUAUAAGGUAUGGUUAGUAACAGAAUACACACAUCCAUGACUCAUGGUUUGGGAACACCAUUCUUGGUCUUUGCCCAUGUUGCCAUUAUGUGAAAUAUAAUUACUAAUGGGAACUCUUGGUUUGGAAACACCAUUAAUCUUGGUGUAUCCCAGGUUGCCNNNNNNNNNNNNNNNNNNNNNNNNNNNNNNNNNNNNNNNNNNNNNNNNNNGUAUUAUAUUCCAAAAAAUCAAACCUGAGGUUUACUAAUUACAAAUAAAAGGAGAGUAUCAGGAAGAUCUUCAAUCCUAAAUAAACAAAAAUUACAAGGUGCCUAAAGCAUUCAUUACUGAUUCUAGAUCUUCCAUAUACUCCUGUUUACACCAAAAAUGAAAUAAAACCAAGCAAUUCAUCUUCAUCUUCUGGAUGCUGUUACUUUUGUUCUGGAAGCAUCUGAGGUUCCUCUCUUUCCACACAGACCACCAGAUACAGGUGGGGAUGAUCUUCCAUCUUUCUUUAUGACCAGAAAUGUAGGCAAAGCUACUCCAUAUCUUCAGGGCCUGGACAAUAUUUCUUGGCAUCACCCAAGAUAGGUCCUUCGAAUUGAUGAAAAUGCUCCACAAAAUAUUAGUGAUCCUACAGUGAAGAAAGAGGUGAUUGACUGUUUCAGCCUCUUCUCCACACAGGAAACACCUAGGGCUCAGUUGGAUACCCCUUUUCAUGAGGUUCUCCUGAGUCAAAACAGCCUGCUUUGCUAGUAGCCAAGUGAAGCAGGACACUUUAGGAGGUAUUUUAACUUUCCAGAUAAGUUUCCAUGGCCAGCCAGUAACUUGAUGGAUGAAAGAGUUGAGCUUUUUGUAAGCUUCCUUCACACUAAAAUUUCCAUUGCUAUGCUGCCUUAAAAAAACAGAUAAGAGACUUGUAUUUAUGUCAAUCUAUGGACUGCCAUCUCUACCUUCACAAAGGUAGGGGUAAGGUUGUGUACACACUGCCCUCUCUAGACCUUGUAGGAUUACAUUGGACAUGUUGUUGUGGACUGCCAUCUGUCAUGAAAAAAAUCCAAUUGUUUUUUCAAAAGUAUGGGUUAUAAGGUAUGGUUAGUAACAGAAUACACACAUCCAUGACUCAUGGUUUGGGAACACCAUUCUUGGUCUUUGCCCAUGUUGCCAUUAUGUGAAAUAUAAUUACUAAUGGGAACUCUUGGUUUGGAAACACCAUUAAUCUUGGUGUAUCCCAGGUUGCCAGUAUUGUUCUGGGUUGAAACUCUUUGUUUGGAAACACCAUUAAUCUUGGUGUAUCCCAGGUUGCCGGUAUUGUUCUAGGUUGAAAUUUCUAAUCUUACAGUGAUGCAAUACUACUACACUUGUUAUAUGUGUAUAUUGUUUUAUAUGCUGACUGAUUAUCCCUUUGCUUUGUUUCUUUUCUCUUUUCUAUUUUUCUUUUCUAUAUUGAACAAGGAACACAAAUUGUGAUGAUAACAUCAAUGCAAACUUAGCUAAAGAUAUGACACAAUAAAGGAAAAAGAUCCACAUAGGUGAUAUCUGUUAGUUGGGAAUAGAACUUAAGCCUCAUUUGUUUGCAUUUAAUGGAAGUCUGAAUAUGAAUGGUUCAGACCUUUAAAUGCGUUUGUUUAUUUUAAGAUUUAAGCCCUUAUUUGGUCUGAAUAGGUCUCAAUCACUAAGAUUUUGAAUAAAAGUUUUUAUAUCAUUACGAUGUAUUUUUUGUGGAUAACUUUCACCAUUACUUUGUCUACUAGACUACUACCACCCGCUACCACCAUUACCACAUCUGCCAUUAAAACCACCAUGAUGUCGCCAACCACCAACUACCUCUUCCAUCACAACCAUCACUAACAACCACAACGCUGCCACCAACUAAUGUCAGCCACUACCAUACCUACCACUUCCAUUAUUAAAUUAAUCCACUGUCAUCAUCACUGCCACUAGUCAUUUCUGUCGUCGCCACUAUCAGUAACUACCACCACUACUGUGAGCAAUCUGUACUACCAACUACAUCCACCAUCAUAACUAGCACCAUCACCAAUUACCACUAGCACUAUUGUCAACAACCACACAUUCUUAAGCCACCACCACCACCGCCAACUACUAACAUCAUAUAACCACAACCACCAACACCACUGCCACCACCAACUAGCUCUGCUAUCACAAUCACCACUAGGAAGCACCACUAAUAACCACUACUUUUCGGUCGCGACCACACGUACCACCUCAUCAUUAUAAUUAUAUCCAUUGUCUCUGCCACCACUAUCAACUACUACACCUACCGUGGUCAAUUCCUACUAUAAACCAUCACAAUUAGAACCACUACUAGCUACCACCAAUACCAUUAUCAGCCACAACCACCAACACUGCAAACUACUAACAUCAACCAAUUUCACCACCACCACUGAUAUCAACCACUAUUGUCAGUCACUAUCACAUCUGCCAAAUACAUCAUUAUAAUUACAUUCAUAGUCAUCACCGUCACCGUCACCGUCGCCUCCACCUCCACCACCAUUAUGAACCACUAUCACCGCUUUAGGUAAUUCCUACUACCAACCACCUCCACAAUCACAACUAGCAUCAGUGCCAACUACCACCAACACACCACCCCUCAAUUUUCAGCCGCCACCACCGCCACCGCCACCGCUAACUACUAACAUCGACAAAUUCCACCAUCACAACAACCACCACCACUACCAACCGCCACCAUCGUACUAGCCACUAGAACACCAAUCACCUCUACCAUCACAACUAUCACCAACCAUCACUACCACAUGCCACUACAAACCAUCUCCACCAUUACUAGCGAACAUAAAUGUUUUUUUAUCAAACAAUAAUUUUUGUUGUAUUAAAUUUAUGUAUUUAUUCUUAUAUUGUAUUUAUUUUAUAUUUGAAUUGUAUAUUUAUUAUGUUUACAAACAAAUAAAUUAUGCACAUUCAUAUUUUGAGUAUUAAUCAUUGAGUGUUCAAAUCUAAGGACAACAUCUUAAUCAUACAUGUAUACAUUUAGAUUUAAACGUCUUAAUUUUAAUGAAAACAAAUGAGCUUUAGUCUUGUUAGAGGACUUUUGUUAUUAUUACAUACAGUGGCGGACCCAGAAAUUUUACGAAGUGGGCUCAACAUACAAAAAAAAAAUGAAGCAGUAUCAAAUGUUGUGGGUGGCAAUCGUACCCGCGAUGCAUCAAUCAAAUUGUAACCACUCUGCCGCUGGGUUACGUGUUACUAUUGGUUUAAGUGGGGUCAAAUUAAUUAUAUACAUUGUUUUAUUUAAAAAAACAGAUUGAAUAUAUAUGUAUAUACAAUGUAUUUUUUCGACGAAGUGGGUUCAUAUGAACUCACUUGCAACAAGGUAGGUCCGCCCCUGAUUACAUUUAUUUAUAAUAUUUAACUUAUUUUGCACUUCUAUUUUUGUUCGGUGUCAUGAUGACAUGAGAGGAGCUUAAAUGGAAUAAUGAGUAUUCAUAUAACUGACUCUAACUUGUUUGAGAUUGAGACUUAGUUGAACAAUGAACACAAUUGUCAAUUUCUCGAGGAG